GCGGGCGGCCCAGACAAAGGCGACGAAUCAGUAAGCUUGGGAAGCGCUGUACAGUGGCAGAAAGAAUAUGGACUUCGGAGUUAGACACACCUCAGUUUGAUCCCUAACUCUGGCACAUAUUUGCUGCGUGGCAAGUUCUUACCCUUGAUUUAAGAGAUGGUGCUGAUUCAGACAUGCGCACAGUGACACAGGUGCUAAAUGCAGUGCUGGAGGGAGUACAGAUCUGUGGAACCUGUUUCAGAAGCACUUUGGCAGUGUCACAGAGCAGAACUUAGUACUUCCGAGAAAAUGAAUGCUGAACCCUUACGAAGAGAUAAAGGUUAUUUGGUACAUAUUGGUGGUCUCUGCCCUUCAGUAUCUGAGGGUGAUUGAAGGUCUCAUUUCCAGAAAUACCAAGUUUCUGAAAUUUCAAUUUAUGAUUCUUCUAGUAAUUACAGGUUUUGCCGUGACAGUAGGUAAGAACAAGGCUUCCAGGCUCUCUUCAACACCUCCAAGCUCCCUUCUCCAAACCCAAAAGGAAGAAGAAAACUACAAAUCCCCAUCUGCCCGCCCUGCAGUUCUUGGGAAGAGACGGUCCUCAAAUUGUUCCUGCUUAGACCCCUGAAGCUUGGAGAAGGAGAUGGGGACAGGUGUGCCAGCGGGCGAGGAAGGACGUCCAAUAAGGGGGAGGAAAUUUGGCCGAGGGGACAGACGGGAGCGGAGAUAAACCGGUGAGGAGGGUGAGAAGGAAGAGCAAAAAAACAGGGAGAAAGGAGUGAGGAUCGCAGGAGAAAAAGAUAAAAUGGAAGAGAAAAAGAAGGAAGGGUCAGAGUUAAAGGAUGCGGAGACGAUGGCAAAGAGAACACGGAAAGGCUGUCACUGGGAAGAAGGGAGAUUAAGGGGGUGUCACCUACAGGGCUUUACCCCAGCGGGUGAAUGGGCUGCACGGGGAAGGGGGAACUGGAAACCGAGUAGGUGGUAACAAGGGGCUGUGGGCGAAGGCAGGAGCCUGAGGGGGAUGCCUGAGCCAGGGAGCGACAGGCCCACCGGGGACGUGGGGGCGGCAGCGGCUGGGGCGGGUCCUGCUCCCUCGCUGUGGCUGAGCCGGCCCAAUCCUGGGCACAGCCUCUGCCCCAGGUGCGGCGGUGGCCAGACCAGAGCGCACACCCAGGCUGAGCCUUGUCUGUAGGUUUCCUUCAUAGAACUGCAAAGAAAUGUCAAGCACAUGAACACAGCUAGACAACAAUCCAAGGCAAGAUGAAUGCCAGAAGAUUUUGGCAUCCUGGAAAAAACUCACCAUGGACUUUGGUUAUUCAGAAUUAGCUACUUCUUCUGUAAGGCUAUCAGAAAAAUCACAAGAUUGUUGUCAGCUGGGGAGAUGGUGAAGGUAACAGUUUUAAACUCGCCCCCGAACCUCCUAGACAGAGUUACUGGAAGAGAAGCAAACAAAACAAAGCAAAAGGCCCUGGGACAACAUAUACAGUACCAAAAAAAUUAAGCGAUAAGGAGUCCUGUGAAUCCCAAAAAUUGAGCAGUCAGGACAAAUCUGCAAGAGCUACAGUUGCAAUCGGUACUGACAGCUACAGAGGACAAGGAGGGACACGGUGGGGAAUCUAGGGGAGCUGAGCACAGGAGGACCAAUCUUGCAGCUGCAAUGGACAGGGUGAGACACCCUCACGUGAGACGAUUCACAGUAACGCACGGAUCCACGGUAAAGUCCUCAGGAGCUGGAGCACAACAGUCCUCUGAACACCCAAAAUUAGGCAAAGCUCCCUUCCAGGACAAAGCUCCACAUUAUAGAGAAGUGUGAGGAAUUAAAGUAUCAAAUACUACUGGAGUCAGUUAAAAAGACCUUUAGUAUAAGAAAGGGUGGUUCAAGGAAAAAUGGGGGAAAGAGAGAGAAAAACCUAGGAAAUCUCAAGAAAUAUGAGGCCAUAUUUUUAGCACUUCAUAAAACUGGCAUAAGAAGAGCAUUAGAGCCAUAAAUCUAGUAAAAGGAUUCAGACCCACUUCUCCCUGCUACGAGUUUGGGAAAACAGACUUUCACACCAGAAUGAUAGCAGGAAGGACUGCGGCUCACAGGACAGAGUGACACCCUUACGAUGAAGGCAUGUCAAAAAGAUACGCCUGCAAAACAGAGGAAAACCAGGAUCUAGUGUUUCAAGAAAUGAGAAAAGACAUUACGAAAAUGACAUAAUAGGAAUGCUGUAAAUCAGAGUUAGAAAAAACUCAGGAAGGAGUUAAACAUUUGGAGUAAAUGGAAAAGAAAUCACUUCAGAAGUGAAGUCUAAACUAGAAGCUACACAAGAGUGAUUAUACAGCAGAUAAUAUCACAUAAACAGAAGUUGCAAAGAAUGAAAAAAUUAAAAAUCAAAAAGAUGAAAAGAAUUCAAUUGAAAAUUACAAACACAGAAGACAGGAAAAGAAGACUGAACACACGAAGACAGGCCUCAAGUAAUAAAAACUAUAUAUAUAUAAUAGUAAUAUAAUCAUAACUAUAUAUAAUUUUAAGUUUCUUAUCCUCAGAUAGCUGUGUAUAUAAUGUUGCAUAAAAUAUUGACUAAUUAUAUGAUAUUCUAAAAUUUUAUUGUUCACGAUAUCCACAAUUCUCACCAUGUCAGAGAGGAGGUAAGAUUUUAGAUAGAAGAGAUACAUAAAACCCAGUAGCCAUAAAUUUCAAUGGAAAAUAUCAGUAUGAAUUAAUGAGGUGUCUUCAUCUUUUAAAAGUAUAUUGAUUUCCUAACUCUGUCCAUUCCAAGGCCUAGAGAGACAACACAGUAGCAACACGGAGUGGCCAGAAAGUAUUCCUGAAAUACAAUUUCAAACUAAAAGAAACCGGAGCCCCUGGAAGAAACCAGUGGUUUAGGAUGUGUACAAAAUGGGCCUUAAACCUUGUCACCCGAGAAAGCAGGAACGAACUUUGGGAUCCAACACAGAGGCUCCCGCUGGUCAAAGAUGGGAAAACCUCAGCAUCAGAAAGGGUUUUGUCAAAAACGGACUCAAGUAUCAAGUGUAUUUAAGUCCAUGGAUUGCAAAUGACAACUAAAAGAAAAAACCUAGCUGGUUACCACUGGAGGAUGCUAUUUUGAAAACUGGUAAAUACAUAAAGAGAAGGAAUUAAACACUUCUACUUUUCCCAUGUGAACCAUACCACAGCAUAACCAAAUAGCAGAUAAUGGGAAGCCUAUGUCCUUACAGAGGCAUAGUUAGCCAAGGAAAGUAAAUUAGAUUACCACCAUUUUGCAAUUCUUAAUGAAUUACUGGAUCUAGCAUCAAUAGCUACAUAUAUCACAAAACGAGACAAGUGACACAUGUGCCUCCUGAAAACACAACUUUCCACAGCCUGUGCAACAGCCUCGACCCACCCACAGCCUCUGGGCCAACCAUCAAUUUCCAGGAAAUACAGAGGACUGAGCAGCAGGUCAAACUGGACCACAGUGCUGCGAUCCUCGAAAGCCAGACUACGAGAAACCAAAUGACCCAGUUUCCCCAGUCAAUAAAUCCCAAAUGAAAGCCACAACAAAAAAGAUGGAUGAGAAAUCCACGGAUCAAAAGAACAGAAACAAGCAGAAUGAAGCCAUUAUACCAAAGUAAACAAUAAUGUGCAGGAUGCAGGAUGCAGGACUGCCUAAGAGGGAGUCACACCAAAUGCCAUAACUUUGAAUGCAUGACUCAAACUAUGUAGCUUUCAAUUUUUUUUUUAUAAGGGAGUCACCAGUCAAAAUAAAGAGUGAAACUUAAUGACUACA
This is a long non-coding RNA of Lemur catta (Ring-tailed lemur), 3728 nucleotides long. RefSeq lists it as uncharacterized. NCBI's taxonomy places the organism in Eukaryota, Metazoa, Chordata, Mammalia, Primates, Lemuridae. The transcript is spliced from 7 exons. The record is from RefSeq and is a predicted model, not a curated record.